Molecule: ribosomal RNA, 259 nt
Filed under: uncultured bacterium
Lineage: Bacteria
Description: partial 16S ribosomal RNA
Rfam family: Bacterial small subunit ribosomal RNA
Source: RNAcentral
UGGCGGACGGGUGAGUUAACGCGUGGGGUAACCUGCCUUACACAGGGGAUAACACCUGGAAACAGGUGCUAAUACCGCAGUAAGCGCACAGGGUCCGCAUGGCCCGGUGUGAAAAACUCCGGUGGUGUAAGAUGGACCCGCGUCUGAUUAGCUUGUUGGCGGGGUAGGGGCCCACCAAGGCGACGAUCAGUAGCCGGCCUGAGAGGGUGGACGGCCACAUUGAGACUGAGACACGGCCAACUCCUACGGGAGGCAGCAG